CCUACGGGGGGCAGCAGUGGGGAAUAUUGGGCAAUGGAGGAAACUCUUACCCAGCAAUGCCGCGUGAGUGAAGAAGGUCUUCGGAUUGUAAAGCUCUUUGAUUGGGGAUGAAAAAAUGACGGUACCCAAAGAACAAGCCCCGGCUAACCACGUGCCAGCAGCCGCGGUAAUACGUAGGUGGCAAGCGUUGUCCGGAUUUACUGGGUGUAAAGGGCGUGUAGCCGGGUUGACAAGUCAGAUGUGAAAUCCUGCGGCUUAACCGCAGAACUGCAUUUG
This 276-nucleotide ribosomal RNA is filed under the name uncultured bacterium. RNAcentral describes it as "partial 16S ribosomal RNA". It matches the Rfam family "Bacterial small subunit ribosomal RNA", at positions 338 to 629 of the family's 1533-position model. The record is from RNAcentral.